Molecule: ribosomal RNA, 468 nt
Filed under: uncultured bacterium
Lineage: Bacteria
Description: partial 16S ribosomal RNA
Rfam family: Bacterial small subunit ribosomal RNA
Source: RNAcentral
GACGAACGCUGUCGGCGUGCUUAACACAUGCAAGUCGAACGGAAAGGCCCUGCUUUUGUGGGGUGCUCGAGUGGCGAACGGGUGAGUAACACGUGAGUAACCUGCCCUUGACUUUGGGAUAACUUCAGGAAACUGGGGCUAAUACCGGAUAGGAGCUCCUGCUGCAUGGUGGGGGUUGGAAAGUUUCGGCGGUUGGGGAUGGACUCGCGGCUUAUCAGCUUGUUGGUGGGGUAGUGGCUUACCAAGGCUUUGACGGGUAGCCGGCCUGAGAGGGUGACCGGCCACAUUGGGACUGAGAUGCGGCCCAGACUCCUACGGGAGGCAGCAGUGGGGAAUAUUGCACAAUGGGCGGAAGCCUGAUGCAGCAACGCCGCGUGCGGGAUGACGGCCUUCGGGUUGUAAACCGCUUUCGCCUGUGACGAAGCGUGAGUGACGGUAAUGGGUAAAGAAGCACCGGCUAACUACGUG